GGAGAGGACACACCUUCGUAGUGUAAUAGUUCUAGUUACAAGUACCAGAACUAUUAAGAAAUGUGUAUGUUGUUCAAGUCGAAACCAAUUCAGGAAGAUGGAUUUGGCGUGUGAAGGUUAUAGCAUAUAACAGUAGCACAGACGACAGUGUAAACAACAAUCCGGUUCUGGGCACUAUAUACUCCGGACACUUUAAGAAGGUACCUCGUCGAGUUGAAGGCGACCGGUUUCCACCCCACAACUUCAUCAUAACUCGACACCGCCUACGAGUUUUGGUCCGCCGCACAGGGAGUCGGAAAGAAAAAUGUAUCAUACAAUUUGGUCGAGAAUAUUUGAGAACUCGUUCACAUGGAUAAAAUUGUUCGGUCGUUAUUAAUCAAUAUGCAUACAAUGAAAUUUCAGCAUUGAGACUUGGAGGUAAUAUCAAAAAGUACAAUAUCCAAAGAAGACAACAGAAAAAAUCAUUUGUUUUCAUUGGUUGAAUCAUGCUUACGACAAUCAAUAGCAAGAGCAUCGUUCGAUCGUGCUAAGAGUGUUUUUGUCCUGUACUGAAAAAUUUAGAUGCUGAUCCUGAUGAAUGUUUUGUAAAUUUGUACAAAAGUAUUGGUGAUGUCUUAUAAGACCAUUGCUAAUGCAGCCAACGAGAGUGUCGAGCCCACGGUAUUUGAUUUCCACUGGCAGAGGAUGUGCUUGAAGUCUCUGUUAAUGGUACUGUAAAUCUCUCUUAAUUAAUUAUUUAUAAUGAGUGGUGUAAUCAGUACCCGCCUUGAGUAUCCACCUCCUACUUUACUAUGUACGCAUGUAGACCGUGUACUCAUAAUGAAA
Adelges cooleyi (spruce gall adelgid) is the source of this 825-nucleotide long non-coding RNA. RefSeq lists it as uncharacterized. The transcript has 5 exons. The record is from RefSeq and is a predicted model, not a curated record. NCBI's taxonomy places the organism in Eukaryota, Metazoa, Arthropoda, Insecta, Hemiptera, Adelgidae.